ACCGUGCAAAGGUAGCAUAAUCAUUAGUUUUUUAAUUGAAAGCUGGAAUGAAUGGUUGGACGAGAAAAUUACUGUCUCAAUUUAAAUUUUGAUAGAAUUUUAUUUUUAAGUAAGAAAGCUUAAAUAAAUUUAAAAGACGAGAAGACCCUAUAGAGUUUUAUAUUUUUUAGAAUUUAAAUUAAUAGAAUUAUAAGAUUUGUAUUUUAAAAAUUAUUUUAUUGGGGUGAUAGAGAAAUUAAAUGAACUUUUUUUUAUUUUUAACAUUAAUAUGUGAAUAUUUGAUCCGUUAUUUUACGAUUACAAGAUUAAAUUACCUUAGGGAUAACAGCGUAAUUUUUUUUGAGAGUUCAUAUCGAAAAAAGAGUUU
Molecule: ribosomal RNA, 367 nt
Filed under: Trigonophorus sp. c.s.syu201325
Lineage: Eukaryota; Metazoa; Arthropoda; Insecta; Coleoptera; Scarabaeidae
Description: partial 16S ribosomal RNA
Source: RNAcentral